RNAcentral lists this long non-coding RNA (4448 nucleotides) under Mus pahari (shrew mouse). RNAcentral's name for it is "lncRNA (MGP_PahariEiJ_G0003508.1)". The record is from RNAcentral. Lineage: Eukaryota; Metazoa; Chordata; Mammalia; Rodentia; Muridae.
CAACCCAAUGCUGCCAAGCCCCUGCAUCCUGUCGAGGGAAAUUGUCGUUAGGCAGCCCCCUCGCUCACUCCCGGGAACUUCCAGUCCCUUCUUCCUCUACCCAUGGUCCUGGGGACCCUAUAGGCAGGCUGGAGAUCCGCCCACCGGCCCCUGACCCCCGCCCGGCCGCCUGCACCUCUCUGUCCCAGAGGCUGGGCUGGCGAGGGGCCACUCACCCCGCGGAUAUCCCAGUAACCCAGAACCAUAGACUUGGAUGACAUUUUGGGCGAUCUUAGCCCCUUCGGGGAUACGCGAUGGACUGUGGGCGGCUAACUUUAUACUGGAAGUUGUGGGCCCGGCCGACGCGACCGAACUGCUCCUCCUCUCUCGCUCUGUGCUCCACCCGCCCUCCCUCCGCGUGGUCACUUGGCCGUGCGCAGGCGCAGCUGCUGCGGCUCCUGAAAUCCUCUGGUGUGAACUUCUCUCCCAGGGCUGUUGGUGCAGCAUCCACUCUUCUGGCAGUGGGCGCCUGGACCUUAGUUACCCGGGGAGCGUGAGUCAUGUUGCCAUAGUUGAGCUGGCACAUAAAACUGCGAGGUGUUCUGCCCAGUUUAUAGAACAAGGAAUUGAAGCUUGGAGAAGAUUGAUGGGCCACUCAAGUUCCCUGGAUGGUCCAGGAUUCAGACUGUGGAUGGCCUAAUACAUCAGUUUUGCUGGCUCCCUGUGUUUGGCUAACCUUAGAGCCUCUUACCUUGCCAUAGUCUUUUCUAUGAAGGACAGAGAUCCAAGGAGUAGACCAACUUACCUGAGUUCACACAGUGGACCUGGGUCUUUCACCUCCCAGCGCAAUGUUCCUAUGUCCUGCCACUGAAGAGACAGGUGGGAGGGAGCUCAAGGUUGGCUUGCCUAACAACCAUUGCUUGAAAGACAAAGCUCCCAAGGAGAGCACAAGAUACCUCACUCAAGACUGCUCUGCAUCACCAGCCAGUGUGAACAGAGCCUGCGGCUGUCAGCAGAGUAGUCUUUGUCUCGGAGACACGCUGUGUCUACAAUUGGACUAGGAACUUUGGAUUAGGGUGGGCAUCAUGCCCCAUAGGACAGUGGUGGUGUAUGUAGCCUCAUUUCUGAGUUUAUUUAGAGAGGAGAAAGAAUGUACCAUAGCCCCCAAAGGCUUUAGGUUACAGUGAAUUCUCUUUAGUUCAGAUGUAGUUUAGUUUAGCUUGGUUUGGUUAGCUGUGGUUUCAUUCUGUUCCGUUCCAUUCUGUUUGGUUCGGUUCGGUUCGGUUCCGUUGCAGAGUUGUUGCUCUACGAUGCUUUGCAUCCCAGCUUCCCUGCUCUCUCUUGCUUUGGUUCCCAUCAGGCCCAGAAUAAAUGACAAGGGGAGGGUCAUAGAACAAGCUAAAAGAUGCUUUUUAUUGGCAGGCUUGGGACGAAAGAGAUCAGGAGUCAGACUAGGAGUAAGUAUGCCAACUUAGGGUGUGGGGUAAAAUAAAUAGUAACCGGCGAGGGUCUCCAACCCAAUGAGGGUACCAUUUGCCUCAGUGUCCGGACCUGUUCAUCUUCUUUGCUCUUUGAUCCAGGAUAUGUGGUUUGCCACUAACUGAAAGAGGACUUCCGAGGGCUCUAACUGGGUACCAAAUACUCCAUCUUGCAUAUGAGAGGUCCUUGGUCUUGAGGUAUUUGAGCUGGUCUCUAAUGAGUCAUCUAAAGGGAGAAAAUAAUUCAGCUGGGGCUGGUUCCUGGUGAGGGACUCCCAGAGAUUAUACCGCCAAUACGGUUAGAGCUUCAAGACACACCUGAACGGAUGGAGCUGAGUCCCCAGAGGAAUAUCCCAUGCCUAGUGUCCCCAGAUCUCCCUUUCUCACCCCAGGAGAAUUAAAAUCCUCUGAAUAGGAGUCAGGAUCCCAGGGCUUCCUUACCCCCAGCAUCCUUCUGACAGCAUCCAGCCGGGCCUGGAUCCGUGGAGCCUCCUGUGGACACAGCAUCUGCAGCUCCCCAGGUCUCAUGUGAAGUAGCUGGCUUCCCACUAGGGACCCGAGGGUCCUUACGGUGCUGUAAAUAACAAUGGUGGAACCCACCAGAAGCAGGGUGGGCAGAUACUAGGUCUUAGUACUUGUGUAGAGUAGGCAAGUUGGGGGUUACAGGAAUUAGGUAUCUGCAGGUACAGGAAUACGUCUAUUGGUUUGUCUCAGUGAACCACAGAACUCCUAGGUUUGAGGGCAGAAACACUUUAGAAGAGACUGGAAGGGAAGGGUGGCUAAGGUGGGAAGCCCGGGUCCUUCCAGAAUUUGCUAGCCUUGACUCUUUAUCAUAUGGUGUCUCCAGUGGGUGUCCCACCCUAGGCUCGGACAAGCAGCUUUCGUCCAGCAGAGAGAGCCUAAGGUGGAAGCAUCAAGUAGAGUGGAAGCUAGGUCGCACACUCUAAGUCUCUGAGAGGGGAUGGGGUCUGUGGUUCUCGCCUGAGCCCUUUACAGGGCUCGCCGCCCCUCAUCCCCCAGGGGACUGGUCACUCACACAGUGGAGAAGUUCUCUGCUUGUAGCCAGGCCGUGACCUCCUCAGGCUUUGAGCUCAGGCGAAGCAUUGGGGCCUAGAAUCAAGGAGCAGUAGAAGUCAGUCAUCCCAUCUCACGAACAUACACAGCUUCCUGUAUUGGGUCCCUUCUAAUGAGAUCCCGUCAGGACGCUUAUCUCACCUUCUGGUUUUCUAGUUUGGCAGGGACCCUGACUUAAUCUUUGGUCAGACCCUAUAAUGAACUUGGCACCGAGGAAGCAUGUAAUGAUACUGAUUAAACUGAACUAAGGUUUGUCUCUAUUUGUCACCUAAUCCUCCCGACUACCACCUCUGACUUAGGACUCAGGGCUUCUCGGUACCCCAACGUGGGGCGCACCCUAAAGGAUGGUUGUCGGUGGCCUCUCGGGGCUCCGGCUGGCAGGGGUUCCAGGAUAUUGCUGGGAAUGUAACCAGUCAGUCCUGCUUCGUUCUUCACCAGCCACCAUCGCUUGCUCUGGUCCAGAAUCUGCCGAAAAUCACCGUAUCAGCCCCCAGAGCCUCCAUCCUCCCAUCUCCUCUGCCCCCAAGACCAUGUCUUUCCCUGCCCGACCUUUCCUACUUUUCUUCUCUAUCUGUAGGCCACCCACUCCAGGCUAACUGUACUUCCCACCCAUUGCCUCUUUUUCUGACUUCAAGCAAUGGGCCUCACCUCCAGAAUCUCUCCCUGUGCCACAGUCAGUUCCUGGGCAUUCCUUGCUUCAAACUCAUACAGGACUUGCAUGUUCAGGGCAGCUCUGCCAGGGCUAGGGCUGGAGAGUGAGAGGUUGGAGUCCUCGUACUCAGGGUUAUGGUUGUAUGGCUCAUCCCGAGGGAAGUGUAGGCUGCUCCUCAUCCUAGAACCUCUGACAUGAGAGACAGAUUCAGGAUGGAUGGAGAAUGGGAAUUAUGACCCCGGCCAAUGGUCUCUUGCAUUCACAGGUGCAAAGGUUCUGUCCUGUCCCUCCCUCCCUGGGACCUCAAGAAUCCACUAAGCAUGUGACUGACAUACCGGAGGGAAAUGGAAUCCUGGUUUCUUAGGGGUAUCUGUAAGCAAGAAAAUCAGAGUGAGUUAGAAUGGGAGGCAGCCAGCACAGAGGCAGGGAGGGGCUAACUAACCAGCCCAACACAGGCCUGCAACAGCUGCCUUUUGUCCAUUGCUCACCUCCCAUAUAACCUGCCCCGUAGUUAAAUCAUGUGAUUUUGAUCUGGACUGGAAAUGCUUUGCGUAGAUCUCAGUGCUAAGCAACCCUUACCAUGGAGCGGGGCUGUGGAAUCUGCCAGCCAUCGUAGAAUGUGGGUUGGUAGGGUUGCGGUUCGCUUCCUGUCCAGUCAGCCCUGAGGGGAGAGUAAAGCUGAGUCUAGGGUCACUGUGUAGCAGCCUGAGGGAUGUGGAAAGGGAGGAGAUGAGAAGGUCUAGCCUCAGGGAUGUGUGGCUAACGGGGAUGUAGUGCGUGUAUACAGAUGAAAAGCUACAGGAAACCCACAAAGGAGCAAAUGGUUCCACAGGAACAUGUCUAACAGUGCAAGCAUCAGUGGGCAGCCUCCUCUUGAUUCUUAAGGACAGCUAUGUUGCCUCCCUAGUAUUAAAGUAGUGUAAUCUGGAGUAUUGGGGCUGGAAGACCCCUCUGGAGACUUUCGAAGGCUGACCCUACCCCUUCUUAGUUAUUUGGUUAUUUAUUUAUAUUGAAAAUAGAGUUUUUCAUACAAUAUAUUCUGAUUAUGGCUUCUUCUCUCCCAGCUCCUUCCAGAUCUUUCCCUAUCCCCACCCACCCAAAUUCACGCUCUUUCUUUCUCCUAGAAUACAAACAAGCAUCUAAAAAAAUCAAAAUAAAAUAAAAUUAGAUAAAACAAAACCAACCAAUAGUAGGACAUAAACAGAUAGGAGGAAAAGAGCCAAAGAAAAGGCUCAGGAAAAGCACAAAGAUACAGUGACACACAU